GUACACUCCUACGGGAGGCAGCAGUGGGGAAUAUUGGACAAUGGGGGCAACCCUGAUCCAGCCAUGCCGCGUGAGUGAUGAAGGCCCUAGGGUUGUAAAGCUCUUUUGUGCGGGAAGAUAAUGACGGUACCGCAAGAAUAAGCCCCGGCUAACUUCGUGCCAGCAGCCGCGGUAAUACGAAGGGGGCUAGCGUUGCUCGGAAUCACUGGGCGUAAAGGGUGCGUAGGCGGGUCUUUAAGUCAGGGGUGAAAUCCUGGAGCUCAACUCCAGAACUGCCUUUGAUACUGAGGAUCUUGAGUCCGGAAGAGGUGAGUGGAACUGCGAGUGUAGAGGUGAAAUUCGUAGAUAUUCGCAAGAACACCAGUGGCGAAGGCGGCUCACUGGUCCGGUACUGACGCUGAGGCACGAAAGCGUGGGGAGCAAACAGGAUUAGAAACCCUUGUAGUCCCAU
RNAcentral lists this ribosomal RNA (451 nucleotides) under uncultured organism. Its description in RNAcentral is "partial 16S ribosomal RNA". It matches the Rfam family "Bacterial small subunit ribosomal RNA", at positions 331 to 798 of the family's 1533-position model. The record is from RNAcentral.